RNAcentral lists this ribosomal RNA (448 nucleotides) under uncultured Bacteroidota bacterium. RNAcentral describes it as "bacterial SSU rRNA". It matches the Rfam family "Bacterial small subunit ribosomal RNA", at positions 9 to 453 of the family's 1533-position model. Lineage: Bacteria; Pseudomonadati; Bacteroidota. The record is from RNAcentral.
GAGUUUGAUCAUGGCUCAGGAUGAACGCUAGCGGCAGGCUUAACACAUGCAAGUCGAGGGGUAACAGGAGGUGCUUGCACUUCGCUGACGACCGGCGCACGGGUGCGUAACGCGUAUACAAUCUACCUUUUGCUGAGGGAUAGCCCAGAGAAAUUUGGAUUAAUACCUCAUGGUAUGUAGUAAUGGCAUCAUUAUUAUAUUAAAGGUUACGGCAAAAGAUGAGUAUGCGUUCUAUUAGCUAGAUGGUAAGGUAACGGCUUACCAUGGCGACGAUAGAUAGGGGCCCUGAGAGGGGGAUCCCCCACACUGGUACUGAGACACGGACCAGACUCCUACGGGAGGCAGCAGUGAGGAAUAUUGGACAAUGGGCGCAAGCCUGAUCCAGCCAUGCCGCGUGCAGGAUGACGGCCCUAUGGGUUGUAAACUUCUUUUAUAGAGGAAGAAAACU